This is a long non-coding RNA of Sarcophilus harrisii (Tasmanian devil), 652 nucleotides long. RefSeq lists it as uncharacterized. The record is from RefSeq and is a predicted model, not a curated record. Lineage: Eukaryota; Metazoa; Chordata; Mammalia; Dasyuromorphia; Dasyuridae. The transcript has 2 exons.
UGCCAGACAUCCGAUCAUAGACAAAGCUCCAAAGUCCACCCUGCCAUGGCCGGGAAAUGCCAGACAUCCGAUCAUAGACGAAGCUCCAAAGUCCACCCUGCCCUGGCCAGGUAAGCCCCUCAGAAAAAGGACCUCUAAAAUCCAUCCUGCUCUGGCCAGUUAUCCAAGACAUCCCCUCCUCCCAAUGGCCCCAGGGAGAAGAUUUUAGAUCUGAAGAAGCCACAUCAGCCUGUCUGAGAAAAGCACCCCCUGCUCCUUGCAAGAGAACCACUCAGAUCCAUCCCGCCUUGACCCCACAAUCCAAAUCUUCUCCCAAGAUCGUCCCAAAUCUACCACAAGGUCCCAGAAAAAGCAUUCUGGACCCAUAGAAGCCACCCCAUUCAAUCUGUUCUGCCAUGGCCCCCCCCAAUCAAAAACUUCUCCUAAGACUGUCCCCGAACCCUCCACCCCAAGGCCCCAGGAAAAAACAUUCUGGACCCUUAGAAGCCACCUCACUCUUUCUGAAAAAAGUAGCCUGGGCUGCUCUGAAGAGGCCCACCAAAAUCUGUCCUGUUGUGUCUCCUCAAUCGAAAACUUCUCCCAAGAUGGUCCCCAAACACACCACCUGAAGGUUAUCGGGAGAAGGGUCUGGGCAGCAAACCUCCAAAGGAGG